CCUGCCCCCAACUUCUGGCUAAGCUGCUCGGAGGGAAAACAAGGAAUGAGAAGGAGGGGGAGUGUUUUUGAAUGUUCCAAAAGUCAGAGGUAAAAAAGCCCCCUCUGUAAGACCCAGAGAGGUUCCUGGAGCUGAGCAAACAAAGCUGGAAGUGACUCGGGUGCCACAACGUAACGUGAUUUCAUCCUGUCCCAAAGCAAUGCGAAAACUCAGCUCCUAAAUCUGCAUUUCAUUUGCAUCUGGUGUGGGUGCACCCACAGGCAGAAGGUGUGGGAUAAACCCAGGGAAGCUUUAAAGAAGCUGUAAAGAGCUGCCUGCUCUGUCAGCCCCCACGCCCAGGAGCUCCCUCUCUCACUGCCUUCAAGAA
Molecule: long non-coding RNA, 367 nt
Filed under: Parus major (Great Tit)
Lineage: Eukaryota; Metazoa; Chordata; Aves; Passeriformes; Paridae
Description: lncRNA (ENSPMJG00000008701.1)
Source: RNAcentral